AUUGAACGCUGGCGGCAGGCUUAACACAUGCAAGUCGAGCGGGGUGAUGGUGCUUGCACUAUCACUUAGCGGCGGACGGGUGAGUAAUGCUUAGGAAUCUGCCUAUUAGUGGGGGACAACAUCUCGAAAGGGAUGCUAAUACCGCAUACGUCCUACGGGAGAAAGCAGGGGAUCACUUGUGACCUUGCGCUAAUAGAUGAGCCUAAGUCGGAUUAGCUAGUUGGUGGGGUAAAGGCCUACCAAGGCGACGAUCUGUAGCGGGUCUGAGAGGACGAUCCACCAUACUGGGACUGAGACACGGCCCAGACUCCUACGGGAGGCAGCAGUGGGGAAUAUUUGACAAUGGGGGGAACCCUGAUCCAGCCAUGCCGCGUGUGUGAAGAAGGCCUUAUGGUUGUAAAGCACUUUAAGCGAGGAGGAGGCUCUUUUGGUUAAUACCCAAGAUGAGUGGACGUUACUCGCAGAAUAAGCACCGGCUAUCUCUGUGCCAGCAGCCGCAGUAA
Molecule: ribosomal RNA, 503 nt
Filed under: uncultured bacterium
Lineage: Bacteria
Description: partial 16S ribosomal RNA
Rfam family: Bacterial small subunit ribosomal RNA
Source: RNAcentral